This 1158-nucleotide long non-coding RNA is filed under the name Cyanistes caeruleus (blue tit). Its description in RNAcentral is "lncRNA (ENSCCEG00000020175.1)". Lineage: Eukaryota; Metazoa; Chordata; Aves; Passeriformes; Paridae. The record is from RNAcentral.
AUCCAUUAACCUUUUACUAUAAAAUUACUCAAAUUAUUGUAUGUCUUCUCAUAGGAAACACCUUUGUUAAUAUAGUCGACUUUGUAUAGGAAAAUAACUUCUGAUAUUUGGACUGGUUUAUUUUGAAUACUUUUAGCCAGUUGUUUUGAUCCCCUGCUCUUUGAACCUUGGCAAUUCCCAUCCUUAAAUUUGAGAGUUUUAAUGGUUUCAGUUGAUUUUAAAUGUAUGCAGUGCUUUUGUACUGUGAGCACAGUUAAGAAUUGCUCUAAUUAAUAUGUUCAUAAAUGUUAAUGAAGAGGCAUGUAGUGAAACAUAUAUUUCCCAUUUGGGAACCCCAAUCUGCAAAGUUUUAAGUGUGAAGUAUUUUAACUUAAGAAUGGGCAUAAUUCAAUUUUUUUCCCUUUGAAUGCUGCAAAGUGAUUUUGUUAAUUUUUUAUUCUCCCUUUUAAGAUGAAUUACCCUCCCUCUGAGUUUUUUCUCAUGCUUUACAUGAUUUCAGCAAUCCUUCUUAAUUAACUGGAGCCCUUUAUGUCCUGGACAUGUAUUUGAUGGAAAUAGGAGAGGAUGGGACAUGCUGUACCUUGAUUCUGAGUCAUAAAGCCAUUUGAUGGUUUAAUUAAGGUCACAGCUCUGGAUUUAGUUGAGCACCUGAGACUAUUGAACCUUUGCACUUUGCAGGCUGCUUAACCCUUUAUCCCCUGCCCAAAUGUGUUGCUCUGGGGUGAGCAACAUUCAAGGAUUUUCUUGACCACUUCCUUGCUGAACCCAAACCCUUGAAGGAAAACCUUGAAGGAGAGGGUAAGAUGGAUCAGACAGGGAAGUCUGACCAUGGGCUUCUCACUGCCUGCAACACCACGAGGAGCCUGCUAAGUGAGUGCAGGGGGACAACAAGUGAGCUACUCUGGGAUGAUGCCAUGGGUUCUUCUUCACGGCUGUGGAAUAAGGUUCAGCUGACAAGCAAGGCUGGGGGAGCUGUGGAAGAAAAGUGCCCAGAGGAGAACAAGGGAUACAGUGCAGUCAGCUGGAGGUUUUACUGGAAUACACACACACACACACAGGGUUGAAAGGUGAGAGGCUUUUUAAAACUUCAUUUUUGGGUCAGCUGUUAGAUGCAGGGAAUACACUUUUUUAAUAAUAAAGAAAACAAUCCCAGAAUCA